Long non-coding RNA from Syzygium oleosum, 2637 nucleotides. RefSeq lists it as uncharacterized. NCBI's taxonomy places the organism in Eukaryota, Viridiplantae, Streptophyta, Magnoliopsida, Myrtales, Myrtaceae. The record is from RefSeq and is a predicted model, not a curated record. The transcript is spliced from 2 exons.
UCUCUCUCUCUCUCUCUCUCUCUCUCUCUCUCUCUCUCUGUAUUUAUUUAUGACAAAAAAACGUUUCAAUCUUGACACUGUGUUCUGAUCCAAAACACAGCCUAGCUAGGGUAGUGUUAGAGAGGAGGAGGCAACGUUUUGGUGAAUGUUGGUUGUUGACAGAAGAUAGAGAGCACAGAUGUGGAUGUGCAGCAGAAAUUUGCAUCUCUCUCCUUUGUGCUCUCUAUGCUUCUGUCAUCACCUCAAUUCAGCCUCUCUCUCUCUCUCUCUCUCUCUCUCUCUCUCUCUCGCCCCCCUUAAUUUUCUCUUUUCUAAACCCUUUAGUGCCUAGUUUAAGAUCUUUGUUGGCUUUCUUGAAUUUCUCUAUCUUCCUCAUGAGAAGGAACUGAACAGCUAUUGAUCUUUUAUGUGUAAAUUUGAUUUCCCUUUUUUGCCUUUCCAAACAGCUUUUUUAUUGUCUUGUUUUUCUUCUUUGUGCAGCUAGUAUUGGAAUGAAUGGAAGGAGAAUUUAGAUAAUUUUUUAGUGUGUUUUGAAGAGCACUCGGGUUCUCUUGCUUCAGGUUUGUGUCUAUUUCUUUGCAUAUCUUUAAUCUGAAUUAUGGCUUAUACUGGUUCUUUACUUGUUAUCGUGUGCUUAAAUUUCAUUAAUCUGGUUGAGAAGUUUAAUUGAGACGUAAUUACGCACGUGUUGGCAGUAUAUGGAGGUGCCAAAUCCAUUUUGAUUUGGUUGUUUUUACCUAUUCUUAGUUUGGACAUGUAAAAAUUUAAUCCAUAUUAUUGUCAUAUAAUUUUUGUAUCUUUCAGAAAAAGUUUUUAACCAUGGAAAAACCGUGUGAUGGUUCAUCUGAUUGCUAAUUUAGAUUAAGACAGUGUAAACCCUUGAACUUUGCGUGUCCAACGACAUUGUUGAAGUUGACAUGACUAUGCUUAUGUUGAGUGAUUUUGCUUCGUGUGAGAGUUGCUCUACAUAGAGGGUCUCUUAUAUUUCGAUGUGUGGUGUUGAGGAUAGAGGACACAAAAUGUGAUGAAAACGGAAUCAAUUAGGGAGCUGAGAUAAUUUGAAAUGAUGUGCUUCAAAGAUCUAAUCUAUCGUUGUCAGUUAUUUUUGUAACGUAUUUGUUGUUUAGUUAGUUAAUAAGUCAUUUAGCAGGUGGAGUUUAUGCUACAAAACUUUCAAAAGAUGAUCAAUUCAUGAGAUUGACUAUAGGACGAGCUUUACUUGCAUAAUUAUCUCUUAAAACAUUUUUUUUUUGAUGUAUACUCCAACUAAAAUACUGACGAACCAGAGGAAAAUUAGCUGUAUUUUCAGACAAUUUACUUAAAAAAAUUUCUACCCAUUUAAUAAAUCCAAAACUUACGCAGGCACGCCAUAUACCAUUCUUCAAGAACAAUUUGCUCGGGCAUGCUGCGUUGUUUGGAAGAGAAUUAUAUAGCAUUGCAGUUUCAAUUGAACACCUUUUGGUCGACGCAUGAGGGACACUAAUCUUUGCUUAUUCAUUUGGAGAUUCUUACUGGUAAAAAUUUGUAGGUUGUGUGGAAGCAUGGUGUUUGAUAUCGAUGAUAGUUUGUGUUUUGUGAUGUGUGCAAGUGUAUGUGUGUAUGGCAUAGUUGGAUGUAGGAAUGGACAAGGGGCAAGGUAUACGGGACAAGCAUAGUUUCACUAGUUGAUAGAAAUGGUUUUACAAUAGUUGCAGGAGGUGUUGUGAUGGAGAAGCCACAUGAUAUGGUCUUUUAGUUCAUGCUCCCCCCACCUUGCAUGAAUGAUACUAAGCUCUAUUUAUAGAGCAACUCCACCGACUCUCUCCCACAAUUGUUGACCUUUUUUACCUUUUUUACAAGAUUUUUCUAGUCUUUGGUGCUGACAUCUUCAAGCUUCCUCUCCACGCAUAAGCUCCUAGAGACUUCAACACUUUGCUUGUGCUUUCUAGACUCUUCUGCACAAAUUCAUUGCCGCCUAAGACUAGGAUUUUUUGUAGGAUUCAAUGCCCAUCCUAGAAGUCUCUAGAAAUUGGAUCACAAAUUCCAACGCUUACACCUUACGUCAUUAGGAUGUGUUAAGACAACCAUAAGCUAAGUACUAAUUUUGUCAUAACCAGGUUGGCUCUGCAUUCAUGAUAAUUAAAUUUCAUCUACUUGCUGAAAAAAGGAUUCAGGAUUCUCUUUGUAAUUCAUCGAAUGCGAGAUAUUUCUUCCGUCAAAUUGUCUGAUGAGUUAUCAGCAAAAGCUUAUGACAUUUUCUGGCAAAACUGUUUUCUUGUUGAUGAUUACUACAAGCUCGAUGGACAUGGCAAAAGUUGUUAGAGAAAAGGCUGAAGCAUGCAUACACAGCAACUUGUCUGAUGUACUUGUGUGAUGCCACUACUUCGAGGCCUGGUUAUUUGAUACAAGGUUCGUUGCGCCGGUAAAGAAGAUCUGAAACUACUGCAUCAACUGAAGCAUCGGCACGAAAUGGACACCGACUUAAUCUGAACUUGAUCAAAGUCACGCCUGAAACAAGAAAGCUUCGGAUUUCUUUUCUUUUCUUUCUUGAUUUGCAAGAAGUGUGUCAUAGUGCAAGGUGAUUUUGCUUUUGUAAUUUCUUGUCUCAAGUCUGAAAGCAUCGUCUAUGAAGGCACAAAUAUUUACAUUUCUCUAAAA